CUUGGCGGCCUUAGCGCGGUGGUCCCACCUGACCCCAUGCCGAACUCAGAAGUGAAACGCCGUAGCGCCGAUGGUAGUGUGGGGUCU
This 87-nucleotide ribosomal RNA is filed under the name Escherichia coli. The record is from RNAcentral. Lineage: Bacteria; Pseudomonadati; Pseudomonadota; Gammaproteobacteria; Enterobacterales; Enterobacteriaceae.